This 73-nucleotide transfer RNA is filed under the name Ailuropoda melanoleuca (giant panda). It matches the Rfam family "tRNA". Rfam says of the family: Transfer RNA (tRNA) molecules are approximately 80 nucleotides in length. Their secondary structure includes four short double-helical elements and three loops (D, anti-codon, and T loops). Further hydrogen bonds mediate the characteristic L-shaped molecular structure. tRNAs have two regions of fundamental functional importance: the anti-codon, which is responsible for specific mRNA codon recognition, and the 3' end, to which the tRNAs corresponding amino acid is attached (by aminoacyl-tRNA synthetases). tRNAs cope with the degeneracy of the genetic code in two manners: having more than one tRNA (with a specific anti-codon) for a particular amino acid; and 'wobble' base-pairing, i.e. permitting non-standard base-pairing at the 3rd anti-codon position. Lineage: Eukaryota; Metazoa; Chordata; Mammalia; Carnivora; Ursidae. RNAcentral also lists the same sequence under 1 other name. The record is from Rfam by way of RNAcentral.
GUCUGGCUGGCUCAGUUGGUAGAGCAUGUGACUUUUGAUCUCAGUGUCUUGAGUUCAAGCCCCACAUUAGGUG